This 1602-nucleotide long non-coding RNA is filed under the name Elaeis guineensis (African oil palm). Its description in RNAcentral is "long non-coding RNA (EGUI_LNC034065)". Lineage: Eukaryota; Viridiplantae; Streptophyta; Magnoliopsida; Arecales; Arecaceae. The record is from RNAcentral.
GUGAGAUUGAUGGGUUAUGCAGUGGAUAGUUAGGGGCUCUCAUCUUCUAUGCAGUCCCUUCAUAUUACUACCUUUAAGUAUUCUGGCUCCCACAAGAAAGCCCAAAAAGAAGUUAGUCCGCUGUAAGGAUGACACCAUGGUAAGUAAAGUUGUAAUUUAGUAGAACAUUACUUCAUUCAUAUCCAGUAUACUCAUAUGAUAUGCAGAGAUUUUUUGAGACCAGCCAUGACUUCCCCAGCUUGGAGCUUCUAGAUGAUGGGGAAUAUAGGCAUAUCCUAGAUUUUCUAGGAUAAAAAGUUGAUUGGUGUGUAGUCCUUAUUUAUAAAAUUUUGAUAUCUUUGAACUGAUUCUCUUUGACUUUGAUACUAAUUUCACCAUCUAGAUUAUUGGUUUGGAGUGAUGGCAUCAUGUCAUCAACUGGGUAUAGGUUCAUAACAUCCUGUUCGGUAAUUUAAUCAACGACAAUGUAAGUAUUAUGUGCUAAGUUGAAUAAAUCAAAGAUAUAUGUAAGUUAAUUUCUAUUUUUUGUAAUGGACUAUGCAUGUUAUAGAUGUUUUUUGAUCCCUCCUGCAGUAGCAUGUAUUGAUCGAUCCAUCAAUGCAUUUGGAGUCUAGCUUUAUGUUGCAACCCUUCUUUAUAGUAAUUAUUUUGCAUUCUUCAUGUAAUAUCAUGUUUCGGUCUAGCUUUGUAUACUAUAACAUAUGUUUUAUUUUUUUUUUCUCUUUUAGAGAUAUUGAUGGGCACAUAGAAGGUUUCCAAUAAAGCUAUAUGAGACUUAUGCCUCAUUUAUUGGUUGAAGUCAAGCAAAUGUUCAUGCCCAAAUGCUCAUCAACACACAAGCAUCUGCUUUUCAUAGAUAUAGAGGGCAUUUAUUUUAGAUACUAUACAUAUGUGAGUGGUACAGAGUAUAGAAUAGGCUUCAACAGAUUUGUGAGCAAUGACCAUAUUCAUAGAAUGUUCUGCAUACUCAUGCAUUACUAACAAUAUGGCUAAUUUUUAAUCUUAUGUUUGCAAAUGACUUAGUUGACUGAGAUGGCACGAGAUGUCUACCCUAUUGAUAUGGAUUGUUGGCUACUCUAUUUUGUUAACUGCCUAUAGUAGGGUGCCGAGUAAUUGUUAUAAUAAUUUGAUUUAUUGGUAACUUUACAUAAUAUACGUAAGAGGCAUGAUACAUGUAAACGGCAUGCUUUUUUUUUGAAAUAAUGGAAUAUGCCAAAUUAUGUAAUUACAAGUGCUAACUAAGCUAUUUCAUGCCAAGUGGUAUUUCAUUUGGAAUUAUAUCCAUACCAACUAAUGCACCAUGCCAAUUAAUGGUACAUGCCAAAAAUAGCUUGUGCUAACUACUGCACCAUGCCAAAUAAUGCAUUAUGUCCCUUAUGUUAUUAGAAAAAAUUAUGUUUCCAAUUUACAGUCCCAUAUGUGCCAACACACAUCUGUGCUAACUAAUGCAGCAUAUGAUUUGUUUUUUUUUUUAUUAACUAUGAGCAUGAACUAUCUUAUAUGCUUGAUUAUGCCAACUAUGUCAUGCAUUUUAUAAAGAGUAUAGUGACGGGGGCCUAGAUCACAAUUAUGGAUGAUCGUAUAUCAGAGUUGCAUGCCAGA